AUGUUCAUUCCUACAUUUGGAAAAGAAGGGAUUCAUUUAGCAGUUCUCGGAAGUUUCUUCAAUAAACCAGCGAAUUUAUCAUCUAGUCCAUCAGGAUUGCAACCGGAGGAGCCGGAGAACACGACCCCUGUCCUAUGUGCGGCCAUAUCCCCCAUGGCUUCUACAAGGACCAUAUCCCCCACGGUUUUUUAG
Molecule: ribosomal RNA, 192 nt
Filed under: Triticum aestivum (bread wheat)
Lineage: Eukaryota; Viridiplantae; Streptophyta; Magnoliopsida; Poales; Poaceae
Description: partial small subunit ribosomal RNA
Source: RNAcentral